CAGCAACACCAAAAAGUUCCUGGAGGAGAGAAAAAGGCUGGCCAUGAAGCAGGCGAAGGAGCUGGAGCAGCUGCAGAAAUCCCAGCGAGAGCAGCUGGACAAACUGGAGAAGUUCAACGAGCAGCUUUUGAAAUCCCAUCAUGCAAACAGUCAGACUCAAGGCCAAAGACAUGCAGAAGAUGGUGAAGCUGGAGGAGGACAUGGACCGCAGACCAGCCACGGUGGUGUAAGCUCUCCGUCCUCCACAGGAGCGAGCUGAAGAGUCCGUCUUCAUCCGUGCUUCAUCCCAGUCUGUAGUCUAUAAGCCCCGCCCAUUCUCCCUACCUCAGCUCUAGCCCCGCCCACCACAGUUAACUCCUC
Carassius auratus (goldfish) is the source of this 360-nucleotide long non-coding RNA. RefSeq lists it as uncharacterized. The record is from RefSeq and is a predicted model, not a curated record. NCBI's taxonomy places the organism in Eukaryota, Metazoa, Chordata, Actinopteri, Cypriniformes, Cyprinidae. The transcript is spliced from 4 exons.